CACGUAGUUAGCCGGGGCUUCUUAGUCAGGUACCGUCAUUUUCUUUCCUGCUGAUAGAGCUUUACAUACCGAAAAUACUUCUUCACUCACGCGGCGUCGCUGCAUCAGGGUUUCCCCCAUUGUGCAAUAUUCCCCACUGCUGCCUCCCGUAGGAGUUUGGGCCGUGUCUCAGUCCCAAUGUGGCCGUUCACCCUCUCAGGCCGGCUACUGAUCGUCGCCUUGGGUGGGCCUCUACCCCGCCAACAAGCUAAUCAGACGCGGGUCCAUCGUAUACCACCGGAGUUUUUCACACCGGACCAUGCGAUCCUGUGCGCUUAUGCGUUUAGCACCUAUUUCUAAGUGUUACUCCCCUGUAUACGGCAGGUUACCCACGCGUUACUCACCCGUCCGCCACUAACAGAUAAAUCACUAGGUUUCAUUACCUGUCCGUUCGACUUCGC
RNAcentral lists this ribosomal RNA (440 nucleotides) under uncultured Lachnospiraceae bacterium. Its description in RNAcentral is "partial 16S ribosomal RNA". Lineage: Bacteria; Bacillati; Bacillota; Clostridia; Lachnospirales; Lachnospiraceae. The record is from RNAcentral.